ACGGCUACCUUGUUACGACUUAGCCCCAGUCAUCGGUUUUGCCCUAGGGCGCUGCUCGCGCUCACGCACUUCAGGCACUCCCGACUCCCAUGGCUUGACGGGCGGUGUGUACAAGGCCCGGGAACGUAUUCACCGCGCCGUGGCUGAUGCGCGAUUACUAGCGAAUCCAGCUUCAUGGAGUCGGGUUGCAGACUCCAAUCCGAACUGAGACAGGCUUUCGGGUUCCGCUCCCUGUCGCCAGGUGGCUUCCCGCUGUACCUGCCAUUGUAACACGUGUGUCGCCCCGGACGUAAGGGCCGUGCUGAUUUGACGUCAUCCCCGCCUUCCUCGCAGCUUGCGCCGGCAGUCCCGCCAGAGUCCCCAGCUUUGCCUGUUGGCAACUGGCGGUAGGGGUUGCGCUCGUUAUGGCACUUAAGCCGACACCUCACGGCACGAGCUGACGACAACCAUGCAGCACCUCGUCGCAGGUCCGUAGACGGGCAUCCUUUCAGACACCCUUCCUGCAACGUUUGAGCCCGGGUAAGGUUCCUCGCGUAUCAUCGAAUUAAACCACAUGUUCCUCCGCUUGUGCGGGCCCCC
Molecule: ribosomal RNA, 579 nt
Filed under: uncultured bacterium
Lineage: Bacteria
Description: partial 16S ribosomal RNA
Source: RNAcentral